Molecule: long non-coding RNA, 1567 nt
Filed under: Pongo abelii (Sumatran orangutan)
Lineage: Eukaryota; Metazoa; Chordata; Mammalia; Primates; Hominidae
Description: lincRNA
Source: RNAcentral
AGAUUCCCAGGUUAUCUCAUAGACAGGGCUGCACUGGGCCUCCUGCCUAGGCCUGUUUGAUGAAGCACCAACAAGCCCCACAGCUUUGUUGCUUUUGCUAUGCCCACUGGGACCAGUGAGAGAAGUGUGGUCUUAUCCCUGGGAGGAGAGAAAGAGCCAGCAUCUGCAGGCGCCCACAGGAUGUCAAGAUCGUGUGGAAUGAUGGUGAUCGAUAUAGACGUGAUCUCAGAGUUCACUCCCUCAUCAUACAGUGGAGGAAAUGAGGCCCAGGGAGGGGCGGAACAUUUUUCCGAGUCAUACAGCAAGAACUCAGAGGCCUCUUGGUUCCUGCUCUUGCCUUGAGAUGGUUCUGUGGGGUGCUCCAGAGCCCCCAAGAAAUUCUUCUGAAAUUCGUUUCUCCACAGGACACCUGGGCUCCUCCUCUGUCCUCCCAGCUCCUCACAGAGGGGUAGUUUCCCUUCUGGCCUGCCUAAGUCUGUCUUUUCUUCUGGACUUCAGUGGCCACCAUGGACCUCCCAAGCUUUCUCUCGGGCUCUUCCAGUGCCGACCUCAGCUUGGCUGCCUCACAUCCUGUCUGGUGGGCACUUACAGGAGCCAUGUCCAUGGACCACCUCGCCUGGGCUGUGGAGGCCCCGUUCUGAGACCACGUGCAGUCCCAAAAAGGAAGCUAAAAGGGGUCAGGGGAGAACAUCCCCGAGUAGGGUGAGGGUGAAUCUCAGUCUCCCUGUCAACUCUCUUUAUCCUGACGUCCAGAAUUCCAGACCUUUGUGGGCACUGAUCCGUGAGACUGAGCUCUUUAAGCCCUUUCACCGAUCCCUGGGGUCCGAAACUUUCAGCUUGCACUUUGGCUUGGUAAAUCACUGACUGUCCCACCAAACACCCCUGCACCCCCCAAACUCAACCUGUGCUCUUCAUGUGCUUUCUCCUGUUGGAUCCCCACACUGACCUUCUGGGUUAGGGACUUGCAUGUCCCCAUUUUAUAGAUGAGGAGCCUGUGGCCCAGGGAGGUGGGUCACCUGCCCAGUAUCACACAGCCUGAGAUUGGCAGAGCCAGAUCUCAUGGAAUGAGAGCCCUGUCUCACCUCCCUAGAGACAGAGCUUAAUUGAUAACUUCGAGUUGAUACUGAAAGGUCACAGGAAUUGCAGCAGAUAAGGGGUUCUGAGGAACUGGCUCUCUAGCACCUGUGGUAAUUAAUUCAGUAUCCCUUUUUGUGUCCCAGAGAAGCACAGUGGCUAAAGCGCACAGCACAAGCUUGGAGAUCAGAUGGACAUGGCUUCAAAUCUCGUCUCUGCUGUUUACAAAAAGUAUGACCCCAGGAGAGGGAUUUAUACCCUCUGAGCUGUAGUUUCCUCAUCCACAAUGUGGCAGUAGGAUUUUAGAGGAUACCGAGAGAUUAAAUGAGAUCUUUCUUAUAGAGUGCUUAGCAAGGGGCUUGGCACCACGGAUGGUAAUAUCAUCAUGAUGAUGCCAGUUAUUUUCAUUGCUAUUCCUUAUUAUUCAUCACUAUUUUUAUUCAUUGCUGUUGCCGGUUGUAUUCAUCAUUAAUAAAUAAUAGCAUUGUUUAUU